Molecule: microRNA, 22 nt
Filed under: Gadus morhua (Atlantic cod)
Lineage: Eukaryota; Metazoa; Chordata; Actinopteri; Gadiformes; Gadidae
Description: gmo-miR-11248-5p
Source: miRBase by way of RNAcentral
CUGUAGUCCACUGGACCGGUCU